RNAcentral lists this ribosomal RNA (442 nucleotides) under uncultured bacterium. RNAcentral's name for it is "partial 16S ribosomal RNA". It matches the Rfam family "Bacterial small subunit ribosomal RNA", at positions 338 to 795 of the family's 1533-position model. The record is from RNAcentral.
CCUACGGGAGGCAGCAGUGGGGAAUAUUGGGCAAUGGGCGCAAGCCUGACCCAGCAACGCCGCGUGAAGGAAGAAGGCUUUCGGGUUGUAAACUUCUUUUGUUAGGGACGAAUAGAUGACGGUACCUGAGGUAUAAGCCACGUCUAACUACGUGCCAGCAGCCGCGGUAAUACGGAGGUGGCAAGCGUUAUCCGGAUUUCCUGGGUGUAAAGGGCGUGUAGGCGGGGUCGCAAGUCAGAUGUGAAAACCACGGGCUCAACCUGUGGUCUGCAUUUGAAACUGUGAUUCUUGAGUAUAGGAGAGGUAGGCGGAAUUCGUGGUGUAGCGGUGAAAUGCGUAGAUAUUAAGAGGAACACCCAUGGCGAAGGCGGUCUGCUAGACAGCAACUGACGCUGAGGCGCGAAAGCGUGGGGAGCAAACAGGAUUAGAUACCCCAGUAGUC